AUUGAACGCUGGCGGCAGGCUUAACACAUGCAAGUCGAGCGGGGGAAGGUGCUUCGGUACUGACCUUAGCGGCGGACCGGUGAGUAAUGCUUAGGAAUCUGCCUAUUAGUGGGGGACAACAUCUCGAAAGGGAUGCUAAUACUGCAUACGUCCUACGGGAGAAAGCAGGGGAUCACUUGUGACCUUGCUCUAAUAGAUGAGCAUAAGGAGGAUUAGCUAGUUGGUGGGGUAAAGGCCUAUCAAUGCGACGAUCUGUAGCGGGUCUGAGAGGAUGAUCCGCCACACUGGGACUGAGACACGGCCCAGACUCCUACGGGAGGCAGCAGUGGGGAAUAUUGGACAAUGGGGGGAACCCUGAUCCAGCCAUGCCGCGUGUGUGAAGAAGGCCUUAUGGUUGUAAAGCACUUUAAGCGAGGAGGAGGCUCUUUUGGUUAAUACCCAAGAUGAGUGGACGUUACUCGCAGAAUAAGCACCGGCUAACUCUGUGCCAGCCGCCGCGGUAA
Molecule: ribosomal RNA, 503 nt
Filed under: uncultured bacterium
Lineage: Bacteria
Description: partial 16S ribosomal RNA
Rfam family: Bacterial small subunit ribosomal RNA
Source: RNAcentral